AACUAUUAUAUAAAUUAUAUAAUAUAAAUAUUAGAAUAAAAAAAAUAAAAUUU
This 53-nucleotide transfer RNA is filed under the name Saccharina sp. RNAcentral's name for it is "tRNA-Leu". The record is from RNAcentral. Lineage: Eukaryota; Phaeophyceae; Laminariales; Laminariaceae.